UAUCCGUCUCCCUUGUAGAUGUCAGUGGUAGGUGUGGUAUCCAUCUCCCUUGUGAUAUAGAUGUCAGUGGUCGGUGUGGUAUCCAUCUCCCUUGUAGAUGUCAGUGGUAGGUGUGGUAUCCAUCUGCCUUGUGAUGUAGAUGUCAGUGGUAGGUGUGGUAUCCAUCUCCCUUGUGAUGUAGAUGUCAGUG
Molecule: long non-coding RNA, 190 nt
Organism: Haliotis rubra (blacklip abalone)
Lineage: Eukaryota; Metazoa; Mollusca; Gastropoda; Lepetellida; Haliotidae
Exons: 3
Source: RefSeq, a predicted model, not a curated record